RNAcentral lists this non-coding RNA (122 nucleotides) under Pterocles gutturalis (yellow-throated sandgrouse). The record is from RNAcentral. Lineage: Eukaryota; Metazoa; Chordata; Aves; Pterocliformes; Pteroclidae.
GUCAGUCUUUAAAGGAAAGAAAAAUACACAUCCAUAGAAAAGGUGGGUUUUGUUUUUAGGACCUGAAAGUGAUAUUUGAAAAAGGUUUGUGUUCUCUCUGACUAUUUUUUUCACUUUUUUUU